RNAcentral lists this ribosomal RNA (468 nucleotides) under uncultured bacterium. Its description in RNAcentral is "partial 16S ribosomal RNA". It matches the Rfam family "Bacterial small subunit ribosomal RNA", at positions 28 to 507 of the family's 1533-position model. The record is from RNAcentral.
GACGAACGCUGGCGGCGUGCUUAACACAUGCAAGUCGAACGGAAAGGCCCUGCUUUUGUGGGGUGCUCGAGUGGCGAACGGGUGAGUAACACGUGAGUAACCUGCCCUUGACUUUGGGAUAACUUCAGGAAACUGGGGCUAAUACCGGAUAGGAGCUCCUGCUGCAUGGUGGGGGUUGGAAAGUUUCGGCGGUUGGGGAUGGACUCGCGGCUUAUCAGCUUGUUGGUGGGGUAGUGGCUUACCAAGGCUUUGACGGGUAGCCGGCCUGAGAGGGUGACCGGCCACAUUGGGACUGAGAUACGGCCCAGACUCCUACGGGAGGCAACAGUGGGGAAUAUUGCACAAUGGGCGGAAGCCUGAUGCAGCAACGCCGCGUGCGGGAUGACGGCCUUCGGGUUGUAAACCGCUUUCGCCUGUGACAAAGCGUGAGUGACGGUAAUGGGUAAAGAAGCACCGGCUAACUACGUG